UGGGGAAUAUUGCACAAUGGAGGGAACUCUGAUGCAGCGACGCCGCGUGAGUGAAGAAGUAUUUCGGUAUGUAAAGCUCUAUCAGUAGGGAAGAUAAUGACGGUACCUACAUAAGAAGCCCCGGCUAAAUACGUGCCAGCAGCCGCGGUAAUACGUAUGGGGCAAGCGUUAUCCGGAUUUAUUGGGCGUAAAGCGAGCGCAGGCGGUCAAUUAAGUCUGAUGUGAAAGCCCCCGGCUCAACCGGGGAGGGUCAUUGGAAACUGGUUGACUUGGGUGCAGAAGAGGAGAGUGGAAUUCCAUGUGUAGCGGUGAAAUGCGUAGAUAUAUGGAGGAACACCAGUGGAGAAGGCGACUCUCUGGUCUGUAACUGACGCUGAGGCUCGAAAGCGUGGGUAGCAAACAGG
This 404-nucleotide ribosomal RNA is filed under the name Bacteroidota bacterium. Its description in RNAcentral is "Bacteroidetes bacterium partial 16S ribosomal RNA". It matches the Rfam family "Bacterial small subunit ribosomal RNA", at positions 355 to 776 of the family's 1533-position model. The record is from RNAcentral. Lineage: Bacteria; Pseudomonadati; Bacteroidota.